GUCGUAUAUGGGAAUGAAUGUGACAAUAGAGAGACUGAUGAAGCUUUGCAGUGCGGCGGGGGGGACUUGGAGCUUCGAACCGAUUCUUCGGUCUAACGUGCUCGCUUGCUUUAUGAAGAAGGUCGAUGAUUGUGCGAAAACAACACCGUAUAUCAAGCAAGUCGCCCAUAUAGGGAACAAUCGGAGGACAGCCUUCGCUUCUUGUAAAUUAUCAUCGUUUUCGGUUCCUCGAUCUCCCUCGCUCAAAGCCCUACAUGACGAAGAGGAGUUAGUUUUACGCGAAGGUUAUGGAGCAGUGAACUUCCGCGUAAAAAAGAACAUUUUAAGAUCUCGAGAACUUGGUAGCUCGGAAACUUCUAAUCCACGCCAUGAAAGCUUUCCCGACCCGAGCACAUGGGCUCUCCUCGUCGAGAACGUAGUAUCGGUACGUCCUUGUCCCGAGCAAAAAGACGACGAGAGCAAAGAACAUGAUGAUGCACGGGAUCCCGAACCCUAGCCCCCAUCCAAUGUUGUCUUGGAUGUAGCUUGACACUAUAAGUGUCACCGUCGCGCCGGCGCACAAUCCAAAGUACCACCAGUUGAAGAACGAGCUCUUGGCGAUGCGUUCCUCUGGGUCGGUCUCGUCGAAUUGGUCCGCACCGAACGCCUGAACGCACGGCUGGUGGCCGCCCUGCGCGAGGGCCACUAUGUAGAGGGAGACGUAAAAGAGGGUGACUUUGAAAGACGAAUGCGCGCAUUUCGUUCCAUCGAUAGCAUCGCGAUCGCAUCGCGAUAGAACAGAGGACAAGGUCAGCAUCCCCAGGCCCUGCAGGUAACUCAAAAAACGUUGUUCUGAAUAUUAUAGAUGCUUUUGAAGGCGAAGAAGAAGUUUGAGAUCAUUUUAUUGAUUGUAACUUUACCCAAAGACCAAAGUACUACAUAAAAGUUAAAUUUAUAGAUUUGUAAACACAAUUUAAAAAUGUAUUUUAUGCACAUCUGAAAAUGCAUUUGUGAUGCUUAACUAGUUAAACAAAAAUGCAUUGGAGUGGACUUCCCAUUAAACAGAUGAGUGUUUAUUUUUCUUAACAUUGAUAAGUUCAGUAAGACCUAAGGCUCAGAAUUUUUUUUUCUAACACCAUACGAAAUAACCAUUUUUUUUAAAAAAACUUACACGGCUAACAAAAAUAAUAUUUAAUAUUUAAUAUAUUUAAUGAAUCCUGAGAUGAGCUAGUAAUUUAUUGGCAUUCAAACUUGAUAAUGUGGUUACUUAAGCCAAUUUUGUAUUACAUUACAUGAAUUGAGCUCCUGUGCUUUUAAAAGUACAGAAGCAUUUGUACUUGUAAUUUUUUAGCUGUCGAAUCACUUUAAGAUCUGUACAGCACUAGUAAUGAUAUGUCCCAUGAAGUCUUUUUAUUAAUAUUGCACGGAUCUUGAGACGAUCCAACAAUUAAAAAUCACAAACACGUUGAGCUCCCGUGCUUUUCAACUCUACAUUACAUUAUCUCCAUUACCUUUUUUUAUUAUUAAUUUAUUCUAACUAUUUUAAUCACUUCACACAUUUAGCUUCACAGAAUAACCUAAUUGUUAAUAGACUCGUAUACCAUUCCUCCACUCCCUUUUUAACUCGAUUCCUUUAACCAAUAUUAUUCUAAAUAUUUUAAAUUUCUUAAUUUUUUUUUUCUUUUUUACAUCCAUAGUUUAUAAAAUUAUUUAAUUUUUCAGUAUGUCUUUGUAAAGUUCACAUUUAUUGCAAUGAAAUUGCCUAAAUACUAAUAGACUUUUGAAAAAAAUUUAGUUCUCACUCUUUUGCGUGCAUGCACCAAUGUAGUUUUAAAUUUGUAAGUUUUUAAAUAAACUUUUUUUUUAUCUAAAUUACACAAAUCAUGAAUUAAAAUUAUUAUACUUUUAAAAGGAAUAAUUUCUAUCAAUAUCUCUAUGGGAGAUCGUAAUUUUAUGAAUAUUUCUUUAAACUUAAAAAAUAUCACUAAUGCCCCUCUAAAAACCAGAAAUAAUCACAAAUACCCUUCGUGUUAAUAAUUCGUCAAAAUGUCAUCUAAUAUUCUUUAAAUAUCAUUUUAACCCCGAAUACUAAUUUAACUUUUUUUAUUUACACCCUCUAAACUGAAGAUAAUUUUGUCUUUGUUUUUCUUUUUUUGGUGGCAAUUGAGUGAUUUUUACCAACUAAAAUAUUUUUUUUUUUAGAAAAAAUUCAUGUGUGAAAGAUCUCAAUUGAAAAACUUUAUCACCCCCUUAUCCUCCCUUCAUACCCAAACGUAAAUUUUUUAUUCAAAAAUAGUAGUUCUCCUGAAAUAAACUGAUAUAAUUAUCCCCACCAACACUUCCAUUUUCUAUAUAUAACUACCCACUAUUUUUAUUAUUCUAUAUUAUCUAUCCAAAUGCUAUUUUUCUUAUCCCCAGGAACAACCCAAUUUUCAUCCAAACGCUAUUUUUCUUAUCCCCAUACUUAUAUCUAUCCUUGUAAUAGUUAGUUCUUGCUUAUACCUGCCGAAUCAAACGAAGCCUUAACUAAGAACAACAACCCUAAUAAAAAAUCUAAAGCCAAGGGGUCUUAAUGAAAAAAAGAAGUAAUUAAAGAUGUUUAUUUGAAACCUUAGAAGAGUACUCAUAAAAUUGUCCCUUAAUGCUCAAAAAAAAUACCACUCCCACCUUUUAGAAGUAAAUUCAUCAUUUAAUAAACAGAAAUAAGCAUGACAAUUUUAUGAGUACUCUUCUAAGGUUUCAAAUAAACGGUGUCUCUGGCUCCAUCUUCAUGGGACUCCGUCAGAUCGAAUCCCCUGAUCUUCUGUUCCUUUUUGUUUUACAUAAUUUGAACAUUUGGGAUUACACUACUCUAACAUUAGACCUUCAUUUUUUUAUAUUUAUCCUUGACACUACAUUUUCACUUACUUACGAACAUUUUCGAUCAUCAAAUACAUAAACUAUGAAGGAAUACGUUAGAACUAACUAUAGGCAAGGACCAACCUUGUAUAGAUAUAACAAACCUAACGCUGCGGAACCUGCAUGACCCCUCUGAGACAGGCGCAUGUUUCCUUAGGGGCCAGGCAAGCCGCCAGACAACAGCCGCGGCGCCGGGCCAGGUUUAUCCGCCAACCAGCGCCCCGCACUGUGUACGAGAGAUGAUGUAUCUCCAGGGUUUUAAAUGAUGUGUAUUGGAUACGUACUAUUCGUAAGAUUUUAAGUAUUAUUUAUGUAAAUUGUACUUUUACGUACUUAAAGUUGAAAUGCCUUGUAAAUCGUGGUUUAUACUCGUAAAGAGUAUAACAUACGAUCCGGUUUGGGUGGCUUGGCAGCGCACGAGGAAGCUAAGCGGCUUGCCUCAACAGGUGCUCGGAGUUCUAUAGGAUUUUCACUAGUCGCUUCUCUAUGCUCUCGUAAUGCUGGUUGGUAUUCCAGUUUGUAAUUGGAUCUUUGUUUUUCCCGGUUUUAAAUGGAGUUCUCAUCUUUAGAGAAGAUUUCGAGGUUUUCUCUCGAUCUUGGGAAGGUUAGGUUCGGGAUCCUUCCAAGAUUAGGUUAGUUAGAUCGGGGUUUUCGGGAUUUAGUUUUUCGGGGUUUUUAGUUGGGAUUAGAGUAAAGAUCCCAAGGUAAAUGGUUUUUAGGAGUUUAGUUACAGAUAUCCCUCCCUUUCUCGUUGUUUGGAGAUUCUUCGAGGUUAGGUUUGAGGCUCCUACUUCUAGAGGAGAAACCAUUCGAGGUUCAGGUUCGAGGUUCGUGGUUCCUUCUUCUCUUCCACUCCUUCCGCGAGGUUCAGGAGAGUUUCGAGAGUUUGAAGAAGAAGAAGGGAGGAGGAGGAAGAAGAAGAGGAGGAAGAAGAGAGAGAUUAUUCCCAUACCUCCCUCACACUCCUCUCUUUACUCUUUCUCUCUCCCAUCUUCCCGAUAAAUCCGGUAGGUUUCAUUGUUUUAGGGUCCUCCAGGGAGUUUUCAGAUUAUAACGUAGUCGGGCCAGACCCGUCAAAAGCGGGUCUCCCUGGCCAGAGAGGGGUCGUCCCUGGCCAGAGAGCGACGCUUGGGCUUUUUGGUCGCAAGCCCUUGGCCAGAGAGGGACGCGCCCUGGCCAGAAAGUGACGCUUCUGCGCAAGCCCCUGGCCAGAGCGGAUGGUCCCUGGCCAACGGAGUCCGACGGAGUUGUGACGAGUGACCCCCUGGCCAGAGAGGAAGGUCCCUGGCCAGGGGCUCUCAUUUUUAAGAGUCCUGAACAGGUCUUAAAGCAUAAAGCUUGAAAAAUCCAGCCUUUUGUAAGAUGUUGGGAGGUGGGUCUCACCUUUUCAAGCUUUAUGUAGGUUUGUGAGCUUGGAGCGUUAAACGUUUCCAGGUCACACAAUGUAGGUAUCCUAUCCGAAUCGAAAAACUCAUUAUUUUAUCUAACCCUGUCAACAUCCCCAGUGUACAUGUAGAGAUCACAAUUACCCGUGUGGGUAUAUGGACGAUUAAAGUAUCCUAUCCCUGCCGAAACAGUGUAACGUUUUAUAUGUUUGUAGAUAUUUAUUAGGUCAGGAAUGUAUGAACGUAACGACUUUUAGAUGGAAUGACUUUUAGAGAAACUGAGGUGUAAUAUAAAGGUAUCUAAUGUUAAUAAAACAAUAGGGAAUCAUCAAUAGUAUAAAGGGUGACUAAGGAGAGCAGGGUCGUUGUGAAUGACGAAGUAGGGGACAUGAGGACUGGUAUAUCUAUGACUACCGAAUCACUUAGCACGUCGUUUUCAUUGGUAGCGACGGUUGCUUUCACUAUUGCUGACGAGUGUCUAACGACAUCGACCAGACGAACGUGUUGCCUAUCCACCGGCUGGGAGUCUAAACGUUAAACGUCUUCGACCACGUCCUUCAAAAUAGCAAAAGAAAGGAUGACUCUUUUCCACAGUCUUUCGAUAAGCAGCAAGGGGUUAUUCCUUGCUGUAUAAUUGUUAGUGUCAGUGAGGUACCCUUCGGUCAGCCGUAUGUCGGUGUGGUAGUAAAGUUAUGAAGCAUACCUAAGCGGAUGUUUUAAAUGGCGAGAUAACGGUAGUCAUAGUUCUCAAUUGAUGAUAACACAGCUCAAAACCGUCUAUGGAUACCAGGUUACUCCGGUCGGCAGUAGCACUUUUAGAUUUGAUGAUAGCACAGAACUAUUUUACAUACUUAGGAGCAUAGUAUGGUCUUAUAUAAUAUGAGGUAAAUUCCUUAUCUCUUACCUGUUAAAAACAAGUCUAACUCAGUACCCUUUGAACGGGCGGUUGACUUUCAGGUACUACAUGACAUAUGACAUGGUGGACGUAGCGUAUAAAAUAGUCUCAAAAUUACAUUAUAAUUCACACCCAGUAACAGAAGUUUAUAUAAACAAAAUAUAACGUAUAAAACAAAACAGUUGGUAUAGACUUUUACGUGACGCCCUUUAUAUAAUUAAAUAUAUACGUGAAAAUAUCCCCUCUGGGCUAAAAACUGUAAUAUCGUUUUUUACCUUGUGAAUAUGCCGAUGAGUCAUGUGAAAUUUUUAACUAACCUUGUGGGUAUAUAGACUGCCACGAUUCAUCCAGAAUAUUUUCUUCCAGAUUAAUAACGAAAUGAAUCCACGUAGACAUCACCACAUCUCGUGUGGGUAUAUAGAUCCCUUUUCACUAUACUGGUGAAAAUAUCUAGACUGUGCUAAAAAGUGUAGUAUCGGUCUUUGCCUUGUGAUUAUCGGGUCCAGCCAUGUGAAAUUCGGGACCAAACUUGUGGCUAUAUUAACUGUCACGAUUAGUUCAGAAUAUUUAUUUCCGAGAUCGAUACCGAAAUGGCUCCACGUAGGUAUCACGAUUACCCGUGUGAGUAUAUAGAUCAUCACUAUACACGUGAAAAUAUACCCUCUGGACUAAAAAGUGUAAUAUCGGUCUUAGCUUUGUGAAUAUGACGUCAACCCAUGUCGAUAGGGGAACCAACCUUGUGGGUAUAUAUACUGUCACGAUUCAUUGAGAUUUUUUUUUGGAGAUCGAUAUCGACGGUGUAGAUAUACAGGUGAAUUUAUACCAUCCGAUUCUGGACAUUACGAUAUCGAAUGUUACCUUGACAAUAUGAUGAAAGUCCAUGUAAACAUCACAGUUUCCCUUGUGAAGAUAUGUACCAUGUAAACAUCACAAUUUCUUUUGUGAAGAUAUCACGGGUGAAAAAAUAUGAUCUACACGUUAAAAGAUAUGAUCCGGCAUGUUCGGUGCAAGUAUCCCAUCCCUUUAGAAAAGUUUUAAAUAUACAAUUUAAUGUUUAAAAGUUUUAAAUUUUAAAUUUACAAUUAAAAAUCGUAAAUGUAAAAAUUAUAUAUUUAAUAUAAAAAAAUAAAUUUGUAACUUUAAAUUUAAAAUUUUAAUAUUUAUAUUUAUAAUAUUAAUAUAUAAAAUUUUAGGUAUUAAUAAAUGUAAAGAUUUAAAUAUAAAUAUAAAUAUUAUACAUUAUAAAUUAAAAAAAUAUAAAGUAUUAAUAAAAUUUAAAAUUUAUCUUUAAAAUAUGAAAAAUUAAAAAUAUAAUACAAAAUUUAAUUUUAUAGUAUAAAAUAUAAAACAUGGAAAGCUUUAAAUUUUUAAAAUUAAAAUUAACUUUAAAUUUAAAUUUCAAAUUUAAUAAAAAUUUAUUUUACACGCGAUGGGUUGAGGGGUCAAUUUUCGAUGGGCUGAGGGAUCAGUUUUUUCGAUCCCGAGUAAAACAGAAAAAGAGGGAAGUUGAGAGGGGGGGAAACUCAUCGGUCGUCGAGCCUCGAGACAAUCCACUCGAUGGACUGAGGGGUCAGUUUUCGAUCCCGAGGUAAAACAGCUAAAGAGGGAAGUUGAGAGGGGGGGAAACUGAUCGGUCGUCGAGCCUCGAGCGUUCGGAGAGCUCAUCGGUCGUCGAGCGUCGAGCGUUCGGAGAGCUCGUCGGUCGUCGAGCGUUCGGAGAGCUCGGAGGAGUAGGAAUGUUUGAGCGACAGUCCCGCCCAGCGAUCACGCAAUGUCUAACGACGACGAAGGGGAAGUCCAUUCGAAUAGAAGGGCGUCUCUUUCAUAUAUGUUAAACAGUCUAACUGUUGGGUUCACCUCCGCUGACUAAAGCAAUAGAUGUAAUACCUUGUUAAUCCUUAUUAUAACUUUAUAAAGGAAAGUCGGUAUCGGAUGUAUCACAUUGAUCCCCACCGUUAGGUCGAGCGACAAACGCUCGGUCGAGCACAAGCCGAGCUUUAUUCGACGUCUAGCCGAGCGAGCAAAUCAUUUGCUUGGCUUGUGCUCGACCUAAAAAGUCGAGCAAAUUAUUUGCUCGGCUUGUGCUCAACCCCAGUCGAGCCAGCACAAGCCGAGCUAUUGUCGAGCUUAUGUAUAUAAAAUAUAAAUAGAUUAAAUAAUUAAAUAUAUAAAUAUAUAUUUAUUUAUUAAUUUAGAUUAUAUAGAAAAAUAAUAAUAUAAAAAUCGGUUUUUUUAUAUUUACGCCCGAAAUAAUAUUUUUCUGAGUAAAUAUACAUUUCAAAGUUGAUAAUCUAGUUUCAGAUUAUCUAUUCUAAACUAUUUAAAUAAAAAAUAUAUAUAAAUUAGAUUAAUAAAAAUUAAAUAACAAGCAACCGGUCGAGUACUCGGUCGAGCACAAGCCGAGCAAUUAUUUGCUCGGCUUGUGCUCGACUUAAAAAGCCGAGCUAUGAAAUUGCUCGGUCGAGCACAAGCCGAGCAAAUUAUUUGCUCGGCUUGUGCUCGGCUGGGGCCGAGCGAGCACAAGCCGAGCAAAUGUGGGGAUCAACAUCAAUCCAGAUUGAUAUAGUUUGGUUUGUUUUUUUAAUACUAGCGGUUUGUCGGGGAUCACUUCAUACACUACCAACAGUUUUAAAAUAUCAAUAUCUUCUAUCAAUUGAAAAGAAAAAUUCUAUUAAAAAAAAAACAGUUAUGGGGAGAUUUUAAAUAUUUAAAACAUUUAUAGUGAUCUUUCAAAUUUUAUAGCAAAGAAACAUUGAAAGCUUANGCUUAUUUUAUAUUUUUAUUUGUUACCUGUAUUAUAGAUCAAUUUAUAUUUAGUUUUGUAGUUCAAUAAUGUCUUACUUUUGUUAUGACCAAAUCUAUUAUAUGUUUACAUUUAAACUUCACUGAAUUGAUAUUUUUUUUUUUAUAUUGCAUAUAUACAAUCAUCUAUAAAUACAUAAUUUUAUAAUAUUAAUUAUCAACUAUAAAUAUAUAAUUUUAUAAUAUGUAAACUUAUAUAUAAAUAUAAUGUUUUAAUUAGUAAUUAAAAGAUCGCAUGAUUAUUUUAUAUUCCGGAGAGGUAAUUUUAUCUCUCUAUCUAAAAAGUAACUGGAUUCACAAAUAUAAAUCAGCCUACCAAAUAGAAAAAAAAAAGUAACGGUACAGUUGCAACUGUAUGAACCAAACAGACUAGUUGUAGUUACGACGGCAAUAUUUGCAACUGCGCGUAUUUUUAACUACACUGUUUUUGCAACUAAAUCCAUCCAAACGGUCCCUAAAAGGUCAUCUAGUGAGAUGUAAUUAGAAAUAUAGUCUAGCUGGAAAUAAAUGCAGUUGAAAAUGCACCAUUUAUAACUACAUACAUCUUAUUUGGACUUUUUUUUGAAAUAACCCUAUAGAAUUUUCUAAUUGGAUAAAUAAUUCUAUGAAUUUUUUUUUAGCAAACUAACCCUCCUUUUGUCUUGUAGGAGGCAUGGUAAAUUGUUUUCUUAAAUAUGGUGAAUCAUUCACCGCCUUCAUGAAGUCGGUUAACGAUUCACCGCAUUUCAUUUUCACAAAAGUGAUAAAUCAUUUACUGUCUUUCCCUAAAUAUGCAUCUAUUUCUUUCUAUUUUUCAUAUAUAAUCUUAACAACUAUAUAAAAAUUUCAACAAAUUAUAUAUAAUCUUAAUAACCUAAAAAUCCCUAAUAAUCUAAAACAAAAAUCCUAAUAAUCCACAUAGAAUUCUAACAAUCUCACUUUUUUAUAUUUCCUAUAUAUAAUCCUAAUAUCCGUAUAAAAAUUUCAACAAAUUGCAUAUAAUCUUAACAACCUAAAGAAUCCUAACAAAUAAUUUUUAAGAUGUUAAGGAUUUUGUAUUGGCAAGUUUCGUGAUUUGAGUCGGAGUCUUGAAGGGUUCAAUACGUGAUUGUCGAAGAUCGAAGAAUCCGAGAUUCCGAAGAACUCAGAAAUGUCAUAUUGGAUGAAUCACGAUGCUCAGGUAAGCGUUUAAAUGUUUUAAUAGUGAUUCAUACUUACUUAUGACAUUAGAAUCAUAUGAAUCAAUGUUAUAAGGAUUAGAAGUGGGUUUUGGUAUUGUUCAAUUUAAUAUAACAAUAUUUGAUAUUGUGUACCGGUACCUGUAUUCAGUUCCUCAAAACCGUCUUUGAAAAAUCAGUUUUUAAUACUGAGUACCAGUAUCUCACUUUGGUACCUCAAAAUCCGAAGAGCAGUGUUCUGUGAAUUACAGUGUUCUGUGAAUUACACUGUGUACCAGUACCACAGCCGAGUACCGGUACUGCAUUGGCCGCGUACUGGUACUCAGCCUGAGGAAAUUUUCGUGUCGUCAUGGUGUACCGGUACCAAAUUUCGGAGUACCGGUACUUAAUGUAAUAUUUCCUUAAUUAGCUUCUAAUCUGAUUCUAAAGUCUAUAAAUAAGAUAUUGGGGUUCUCUAUUUCAUUGAACAUCACGAGAAUACUUGUAUGAGAAACCCUAGAGGCUAAGUUUUUAUUCUAAACCUAUUUUCCACAAAUUAGCCUCUUUUAGGUCAAUUCGAGAUAUUGUAAUUUGAUAUCUACAUGUCGAAUUGAUCUAAGGUUUGCUUAGAGAUUCUUCUCUGGUUCUUCAUCGAUACUCUAAGCGAAGGAUCACCGCAUAAACAUGAUGUUCUUCAUGUGCGGCGUCGUGAAUUCGGCGUGAUCGAAGGAGGUUCGUGGAUUCGGAUCGUGAGCUCGUGGAUUCGAGUGGCGUCCGUGGAUUCGGACGUGUGCGUGGCGUUCGUGAAUUCGAACGUGAGGGCGUGGACAACCCGUAGGAUUGCGCGAGAUUCAUAGGAGGUUAGGAGAGAUCGAGUCCGUGGAGUCGGUAAUCACCUUGUUAUCUUUUCUCUUAGUGAAUUAUUUUUUCGUGUGUUGAUCCCGUAGGUUUUUCUCUAAGUUAGAGUUUCCCACGUAAAUCUCGUGUGAUUUUCACUUUUUCGCAUUUAAUUUUAUCGCAUUGAGAUUUGUGAUUUUUGGGACAUAUACCUAUUCACCCCCCUCUAGGUGUGAUAGUAUCUAGAUAGAUCCUAAGGUUUCUAUAACAUACAAUUGGUAUCAGAGCGGGAUUUAGAUUUAUCUAUCAUAAUGGGUGAAGGCGGCAAUAUUAAUCGACCUCCACUCUUCUAUAACACAAACUAUGCCUAUUGAAAAGUUCGCAUGAGAGCUUUUCUAAUAUCAAUCGAUGAGCGGGUGUGGCAAUCAAUAGAAUUCGGAUGGAAACAUCCCACCGAAGUCGUCUAUAAUGCUACCGUCCUUAAACCUAAAAAUAAAUGGACGAAAGACGAAAAUGAGUCAUCUUAGUUCAAUGGAAAGGGGAUAAAUGCUUUGUUUAAUGCUUUGUCACAAACGGAAUUUACUCGUGUUUCGGCGUGUGAAACCGCCAAAGAGAUUUGGGAUACUCUACAAGUUACACAUGAAGGUACAAGUCUAGUAAAAGUACAAAAGCUCUAAAUAUUGACAAGUCAAUUUGAUUCUAUUCGAAUGGAGGAGCAUGCAUCUUUUACUGAUUAUUAUACUAGACUUCAAGACAUAAUUAAUACAUGUGCUAACUUGGGAGAGAAGAUCCCGGAAUCAAAAAUUGUUAGAAAGAUUUUUCAAACUCUUCCGGAGCGUUUUAGGAAAAAAGUUGCCGCGAUCGAAACUGUUAAGCAUCCGGAUGAGAUGAAAGUCGAAGAGUUAGUAGGUGCGUUGCAAACAUAUGAAAUGACUUUUCCUGCUAAUCAAUCUUCUUCCAAGUUUUCUUCUACAAGCACAGGGGUUGUGUUGAAAUCGACGAAGGAAGAAGACGUGGACUCGGAAUUCGACGGAGACAUCUCAAUUGCGGACUUUGAACAUCAAUUGGCACUAAACUGUCCCUGAUAUAUUGACACUAAACUUCCAAUCAUUUGUAUCUAAUUAUUAUUGUGUGAUUGAUUUGAUCUGAUCCAACGAACCUAUCGUGCACGCAUGCAUUAAAGAUGACUUGUUGACAUCAAUUUCCCCAUGGAGAGUACCUACCAACAACUCUAAUAUCAGAAGAGUUUUUACUGCAUUUAUGGGUCCAUAUGCCAUGUAGUGAUGUGUCCAUGUUUUCAUACACAAAAAAAAGAGAAAAAAAUGUCCCUGUAACGUUUCUAAACAAGGCAAUAUUUUAUUUUUCAUUUAAUUUUAGUUUAAUUUAACAAGGCACAAUUGGAACGUCAUUUGACUAAAUCAUAUACACUCGUAAUGUAGUGUCUCUGGGGUUUAGUGGUCGGACCGACUGCAGCAUUAGUGGCUCGUCGACAUAUCUGUGGAGUGUCGGGACGAGCCGGAGUUGUUUUGGUGCGAAAUAGAUGCGAAAACGGGCUCGGAGCUGUGAGAGUUGGAGUUCAAACACUGAAGUCCGCAAAAGCAAAAUUUGUAGUGUUGAGUACCGAUACCAGGGAGGGUGUGCCGAUACCCCAGAGGGAUUACCCGAAGGGGGGCUCUCGGGUUUGCGAGACUGGAGUUGAGUACCGGUACCGCGUCGAUGAGUACCGGUACUGUUUUUGGUACCGGUACCCAGCAUGCGAGUUUGCUGGCUGAGUGCCGAGUACUGGUACCCAAGUUGAGUACCGGUACCCAGUAGGCAGAUUUGAGUUGGUAAGGAACUUUUUGGUCCUUUUGCUGUGUCGAUCAUUCCAACCGACCCUCAGUUUAUUGAUAUGCGUAGGGAGCUUGGAGAAACAGUAUUCUUCUUAUCUUCUUCUCUCUCUCUACCUUGUAUACACCGUCAUUGGGAAGUUGAGGAUCGAUCUCGUUUCGUUCUACGGAGCUUUGGAGGGUUGCGCGUGCACCGUGGUUGAUUUCAGUUGAGUCGUUGGAGGUCGAGCUAGCACGGGGUUGCUCCUAUCGACUUCUAGCCGGUAUUGGACGAGAGUUCGAGGUGGGUUGAUGUUGCUCGAACACUUCGAAAUUCUCCCUAAGUUUCAGAAAAUGUCAGCAUGUAUUUUCUUGUUCGAUCAUCAUGUUUAGUAGCCCGAAUUCAUGGAUGUGCAUGUUUAUAUGAAACCUGAAUUUGGAGCAUCAUUAGAUGAAGUAUAUAUAUAUAUGCUGAACUGAGAUUUGACGUAGGAGAAAAUCGAUUAAACCUACACUGUCAUUUUCGAAAGUUAACCGAAUUAGCUUCAGAAGCUAUUGUUUUUUUGUAUCAUCGCUGUUAGUGUAUAGUGGAUACUCAAAGUAGUGUAGGUUGACAUUAUAUACGCUUGUGCUGAGGGACCGAGCUCGUUUUAUAGUAGCAUUGGACUGUUUCGUACUGUCGGGAGCUGUCAGAGCUGACGGUGGAUCCAGAUGUCUACAUCUUCUAUCAGAUUGUGCCGAGACCACGUGAGCCUUGGUUGUUAGACCAGUUUGACCUAUUUGCAUUGACUAUAGCCUGUGUGAGCCUGAUUGAGCUCGACAGAGAUACGCUUGCGUACUCGGUAGGGUUGCUCCCACGAGUGUCGCUCCGGAGUGAGACUUUUACUUGCGUUGAUGUCGCAGCAGUCCUGUUUGGACAUUGUUCUUGGACUGGCCACCCCUGUGGGUGAUGUGCGGUGCAGCUUGGGUAGAGGCUGGACUGACUAGUUGGCGGUCCAUUGAGAUUGGGUCAGUGUAUUGUAGCUAGUGAUGCAUUUUUAUGUCUACAGAGAGUAUGGUUUGGAUAGCGAUAGAAUAGUGGCAUAUAGCUGUAGGGUUUCUUCCAGCUUACUUUACUAUCCUCUACAUACCUUUCCUGUAGACUUAGUGGGUAGGCCGUUGGGGUCGGUAACGGUACCCACUGAGGACUACUCUGUUUUGCAGUAGUUCUCACACGCAAUUGUUGCCACCUUUCUGCAGAGCCUUCGUCUACUGCUGUUGUUGCUGAUUCUAAUUGUGGGAAGGGAGUCGCGAGCUAAAUCCCUGCCACCCCUGGAUACUGUGCUAGAGGAGUACCCUUCAGAGGUAGUUUUGGGUUGCUCCAUGUACAUACUGUAAUGUUAAUUGUACUCGCUAGAGUGAGGUUGUUCUAUUGGCUUUUGUAUGUACAGUGGACCCCUUUUAUGUUAUAUAUAUAUAUAUAUAUAUAUAUAUAUAUAUAUAUAUAUAUAUGUUCAUUUUUAGCAGCUCUAUACUUCUAGUUGUAGCUUUGACUUGGUUACAGGCACUACAAUAGAAUUAGGUUAUAGGGAUACAUGUUUGGGACACUUUUGUGUAAGUGUCCUAUUUAUGCCAAAAUUUUUUAAAAAAUCUACUAAUGCCUAAAUAUAAAGUCCAAUCCAACCAAAAAUAAAAGGUUACUCUACUCAACCCACCCCACCCAGCCCAUUCGGCCAGAUUACAAACAGAAAAAAAAAGAAAAAAUCGAUUACCAUUUCUCCUUCUCCCCUCACUCAAUCAACUGAAAUCCCAGACGAAAAUCCCUUCCUCUCAUCCUUCUCCGCCACCGCAGCCAACAAGGUAGAGUUCCGGCGGUUGCUAAAUACUUAAAUAAAUAUUGGUAAAUUAGCAGCACUCUUUUUAUGUUAUAACGACACUCUUUAACUGUCACUAAAUACCUAGUGAGCCCACAUAUAGCAACACUUUUUAAAAGUGUCGGUAAUUUAGCCAGCAGCACUUCUUUUGACCUUUACCGAUAUUUAAAAGUGUUGCUAUAAACCUUUUUUGUUGUAGUGAGGUACAGCUUUCGCUUCGUAUAUACGAAAAAUUUCUAUGUAUACGGCGGGUCUGUUGGCGUGCCAGAGAAAACGUGUUAAUUCGGGGCGUGACACGCAAACACUACGAAAUCUAAGUACAUAAAAACCUUCCGAAAUUGUCAAAAUCACAAAUCAAUUUCAAAUUUUAAAAAAUUAUCAAAACUAUAUAUCUAAUAUUGCUAACAUUAUAUUAAAAAAAUAUAUGGCUAAACUAAUUUUACUCCUUCAGUUGAUUAUCAUCAAAAUAUUGGACUUUAUCAAUUGAAAUAGAAACAAAGUUAAAAAAAGGUGAUGGCAUAAAUUACAGAAAAAAUUAUUCAAACUUUAAAAUGAAUAUAAGAAAGUUGUCCUAAGUUAUAUAAAUUGAAUAAAAAACUAUUAAAUUAUAUGAUAGUUGUAAGGGACAAAUAAGUUCUUUUAUUUUCUAACUCCUAUAAAAUUCUAACGAAAAUUAAAGAGAAGGGUAUAUAUAUAUAUAGAGUUGGACUGGGCUACUAUUAGUAGCAAAAUUCUAUUGUUGCUAUCAGUUUUUUAGCCAUUAGAUCAACUCUUUUCGUCAUUUCUAACCAUUGGAUUAAAUACUAUAACCCAGUGGGGACCACUCAACCCUAGGGGGACCACUCAACUCUAACUGACUAAUAUCAUCCUAACCCUACAAUUUUUCAUCCAAGGGUUAAAAACUUGAUAGCAAAAAGAGUGUUUUACUACUAAUAGUAUUCCAGCCUAAUUCUCUCUCUCUAUAUAUAUAUAUAUAUAUGGAGUAGGGCUGCUGUGCUUUUAGGAGCACAGAGGCCUUCGUGCUCCUCAGCAGCCCUACUUUAUAUAGAGUAGGGCUGCUGUGCUUUUAGGAGCACGGAAGCUUUCGUGCUCCUGAGCCGUUUUCGAUAAUGGAAUUUCCGAAUCGACGAUCGGCUCCGUCAGACUUAAUCUAGCGUAUUUGAAGUUUCUAGAAAAUAAUUUUUGCGAUUUUUUGAGCUUCUAUGCUUUUAAAAGUAUCAAGUCAUUGGUGCUUGUAAAUUUUUGGCCCUUAGAUUAAGAAAUAUGUGGUUAGGAUGAUGUGGGGCCCCUAGGGUUGAGUGAGUGGUUGGUUGAAUACUAUAAUCUAAUGUGACACCCCAAUAAUCCCACAUCGGAUGGGAAUGGGAUUGUCAUUGGGUUUAUAAGAGACUUAGACACUAGUAAUAAUAACUGGGCUUAAGCAUUUUGGGCCGGUUGUUGGGCCCAACGAGUUAUUGUUGCUAGUGGGCUGGGUCGUUACAUUUGGUAUCAGAGCCGGUUCACCAGCUGGACAUGUGUGGCGAGUCUCGGCUGAGCCAGGGUCUGGAUGACGGGCUAGCGAGACGAGUCUCACAUACAUGUGAUCUUGGGCGCUUGUGUUUUGCGACUGAACAGGACGUCAGGGCCUUAACGGGGGAGUAGUAUGUGACACCCCAAUAAUCCCACAUCGGAUAAAAUGGGGUUGUCAUUGGGUUUAUAAGAAGACUAGACACUAGUAAUAAUAACUGGGCUUAGAUUUUGGGCGUUGACUGGCCCAACGAUAUUAUUGCUAGUGGGCUGGUCGUUACAUCUAACGGGUGAAAAUGAUCAAGGCAUAGAAUCGAACGGUAAAAAACUCAACAACACAAGUGCUUGGUACUUUACAAGCACGCAUAGCCGACUUUAUAUAUAUAUAUUAUAUAUAGGUCCGACUACUACCUAUUUAAUAGGAAUUGGGACUCUUGUCCUAUCAAGGUCGAUUUGAAUGAUCGGAACUUCAAAUUGAUAAUCGGCACCGUUGAAUUGAUCUAUACAAUUAGAAAGUUUGAAACCAAAUUUGUAAUAUUUAAAAUCAUUAUCAAUUCAUCUUAAGAGUUGAAAAAUGAACGUCCAUAAAUGAAAACCUUCUAAAAUAGAGUUAUACUUUCUCAGUUCGUAAUCAGGGUCAUCAAACAUAUCUAAAUAGUAUAAUAGAAUUUUCUAUCAAAUUCAAGCAAUUGAUGCUCUACACCGCUAAACAGCAACAACGCUCAUAUAGACCGUCAAAAAUUGUCGAUUUUACGACCACUUUGAUCACAUGUAAACCACUUAUCAAAAUUAUGAAAUUUAGUUUCUAGAUAUUCAAAUACUCUAGAUCAACUUCAAUGGCUCCAAUCAUCGAUUCGGAAUCUCGAUCAUCAAGACAACUUGAUAGGACAAGUGUGUCCUAUCCUAUUAAUAGGAUAGUAGCAUUAGCCUAAUUAUAUAUAUAUAUUAUAGUUAUAUAUAUAUAUAUAUAUAUAUAUAAUUAGGCUGGAAUACUAUUAAUAGUAAAACGUUCUUUUUGCUAUCAAGUUUUUAACCCUUGGAUGAAAAAUUGUAGGGUCAGGAUGAUGUUAGUCGGCUAGAGUUGAGCAGUCCCCCUAGGGUUGAGUGGUCCCCACUGGGUUAUAGUAUUUAAUCCAAUGGUUAGAAAUAAUAAAAAGGUUGAUCCAAAGGCUAAAAAACUGGUAGCAACAAUGAGAUUUUGCUACUAAUAGUAGCCCAGUCUAACUCUAUAUAUAUAUAUAUAUAUAUAGAAUUGAGCUCCUAUGCUUUUAAAAGUACCAAGCUAUUGGUGCUUGUAGAUUUUUAGCCAUUGGAUUAAGAGAUAUGCGGUUAGGAUGAUGUGGGCCCCCUAGGGUUGAGUGGGUGGUUGGUUGAAUAGUAUAAUCUAAUGGUUGAAAAUGAUCCAAGGGGUAGAUCUAAUGGUAAAAAACUUACAAGCACCAAGUGCUUUGUGCUUUUACAAGCACCAUAGGUGGACUAUAUAUAUAUAUAUAUAUAUAUAUAGAGUUUUGCUAGAAUACUAUAGGUAGUAAACGGCUUGGUUUACUACCGAUUUGUUUUCGAUGAUAGAGCUUCCAAAUUGAUGAUUGACACCGUUAAAAAUGAUCUAAACUGUUUAAACUAUCUGGAAAUCAAAUUUCACACAUUUUCGAUAUUGUUCUCUUGUCCAUCAAGUGAACAGAAAAAUGAAUGGCUGAAAUGAAUAUCCUUCAAAAAGUGAUGAUACAAUUUUUAUAUUUGAGAUCUAGAGUCUAGAUCUUAUUUUAAAUAGUUUAAAGAAUUUUUUAACAAAAAUUUAGUUGAUUUGAACUCUUCUAUACCGUUAAACGAGCAAACGCAUCAUAUCGGCCAUUAAAAUUAUAGAUUUUGUGACCCUUUGAUCGUUCAGUUAGUGAUGCCAAAAAAUCAUGAAAUUUGAUUUCUAGAUAAUUUGAAUGGUCUAAAUCAUGUUCAACGGUGCCGAUCGUCGAUUUGGAAGCUCUAUCAUAAAAAACAAAUCGGUAGUAAACUGAGCAGUUUACUACCGAUAGUAGUCCAGUCAAACUCUCUCUCUCUCUCUCUCUCUCUCUCUCUCUCUCUCUAUAUAUAUAUAUAUAUAUGAUAUUAUUUGCGGAUUUAUAGGUGUAAUAUUGAUACUGACAUUUUUGGAGUUAUAUAUGUGAUAUUUUUAAAGUUUUAAGGGAAACACUUAAAGUGUGUUUAUUUUACUGAAAUUGGACAAAGGUGAAUAGUUUUCGAGUGUAAAUAUCUAUUUUUAUUAUUUAGUUUAUCAUAACUUCAUCUUCGGUUGUGACUCAAACUCUCCAAAAUAACGUAAUUAUCUUCGGUCCACUGCAGGCCGAUGUCAAUUACCAAAAAAAGGUGAGAAACAAAUAGUAAAAUAUUAACUCAUCUAUCAUACCUCCAGCAUUUAUAUCAUUUAUUUUCUAUCAAACAAACAAUACAAUUGGGAGAAUUUUAGCCGCAUAGUUAUACAAACAAAUAGUGAAACUGAACUUUUGGUUGAAAUGAAGUUUAGAUGAAAAUCACUUUUCCUCCGCUGUUUAUUUUCACAAGGAUAGAAGUGAAGUUUUUUCAGCUCUACUAUUUAUUUCGGAGGAAGUAUAUGAUGUAUAAAUAAUAAAUAACUUAAUAAAUAAUAAAUAAAAAUAAUAUAAUUAUAUUUUAUAUAAUUAAAAAUUUUAAUUUAAAACAACUAAAUUAUUUUUUAUACAUAAAUAAUAAUAAUACAACAAAAUAAAUUCUAAAGUAAAAAAAAUAUUAAUGCUUAACUAAUCAAUUUUCAUCACAUUUUAAAUGUACAAAUUAAAUAAAAAAUACUAAAAUUUAAUUAAUUAAAAAAAUAAUUAGUAUCCUAACUAAAUAUAUUUAAAUAUAACAGCAUUACUCAUUGUAUUAUUUUAUUAGUUUUUCCUUCAUCUCUCUUCACCAUAAUUGAUUUCGGCCUAGGAUAACUCGAGUUUUGAUUCGAGUUAAUUCGACUUAGGAUAGACUAAGGUCAAUUACAUUGUUUCGGAUUACUCGCGUUUUGGCCGUAUCCUUCUUACGACGGUCCAAACAGCAAAAAUGAUCGUGUUUACUGCAAAAAAUGACUUCACCCCUCUCGACUUUUACCUAAACAAAGAGCCCCUUAACAUUGCUCCAAUCUAAAAUAAGAAAGUAAACUUUACGUAUAAACCCCUAGAAAUUAUCUUUUCCAUAUUUAGUCCCCCCAAAGUCACAAGAGGCAAUCAUUAAUUGCGAAUUGAAUAAGGAAAGAAAAGGCCAAAAUAGCUUCUUUAUUUAUUUAUACCAUUUUAUAUUAAUAUAAUUUACUAAAUUUCACUACUAAUUCCAGAUCUUUUUAUUCAAAUUUCAAUUUGGUCCCUGAAAUCUUAUAAAUUACACACACGAUAUCGCCAAAGUUUCUGUAGUGCCUUAAGUGCAGUAAUCAUCUCCGAGAAAAAAUUAUUGUAUACGUAUAUCAUAUUUCGUAUCCUAUUAUGAAUUAUACGUAGCAAAAAUUUUAUAAUUGAAUUGUAAAAUGAAAUAUAUGAAGGAUUGAUAGAUUCGUCUCGAAUUUCAAAAGAAAAAUGCUAAGUUUACAACGCAAAAGAUCCCUCGUCCAAGGGGUUGUAGAGUUUACAAAAUUUUUUAAAGAUUUUAGUUAAAAGGAAAAUGAUAUGACAAAUUUUUUUUUUAAAAAAUAAGCAUUUGAAUGAAUAAAGUUAUAAAAUUAUAAUCCAAAAUAGGUUGUAGGCGGAGGAUUGGUCAUUUCAAAAUAUGGCUUAUUUCUAGCAAGUGUUGAGAUUUUAAGUGUGGAUUGUAGUAAUUGUUUAUAAUCUUUUAUUGAGUUAUCCGUCAAUUAAAUUAGGAAUUUUUUUUCGAAUUCGCCAAAAUUUGCGUCAAAUUAUAUAAUUUUAAUCACUUCUUAACAAAAAAAAUCAUACUAGUUAACGACUAAUAGUUCAAAAAAGAAAAACUUGAGGGGCCUCUUUCACUAAACACUAUAGUUGAGGGGUCUCAUGCAUUUUUACCAACUCUUGGUCAAACUUUUGGGAACAAGUAGUGCAAAAACAUUUAUGGCUAAAUUAUAACAAAAAUAUCUUGCACUUUAGUUUCAGUCUUAAUUAUUUGUUGCAUUAAAAGCUGCAUUAAUUACCACCAAUAUUUUACUACUUUAUCAAAAAUAGAUCCAAAAAUUUUAAAAAUUGGUAAAUUAGACUGUAAUACAUCACUAAACAAUUUAUUGAACAAUUUGUUCAAUUUAUGUAAUUCAAUUGUAUUACUUUUUGAUAACUUUAUGUAUAUAAAAAUCUGCUUUAACAAAAGUUUGCGGGUGAAUUCAACAAUUGUUCAUGAUAACCGAACAUAUUUGAGACAACGAUAAAAAUAUAAAAGGAUAAUUAAUGUAAUUUUGUAUGCUGGGGAGAUAGUUGAUGCAUACACUAAAGUGUAAGAGAAUUUUUUAUAUUUUAGCUAAAAAAAGAGAGCGGAGUUGAGAAAUAAGGGUGACUAACGAGGACGUAGACGAGGGAGGCGAGGAGGAUGGUGCGGAAUCGGCCGAGGAACGAGUCGGCGACGAGGGCGCCGAGGAGGGGGAGCAUCGAGGCGACGCCGCUCCACGUGUUUAUCGCCGCCGCCGCCGCCGCCGUCCCCUCCCCUAGUGGCCCCGUCAGGUAUGUUAUCAGGUUCGCCGAUAUCCCGUAGAACGCAAAUCUCUCUGUAAUCUCCACACCUUCAAAUUAAUUAUUCUAUUUUUAGUUAUUCACCACAUAUCCACAAUUCGGAAAAAAAAAAAAAGGUCAACUUGUUUUGUUUCCUCAUAUAUAUUUUUUAAAAAAAUCCAAACUAAGUGUUAAUGAAAUGUCAAUCAGUGAUUAGACGGCGAAAAAGUGAAAACUACGAAUAGAUCUAGAGAGAGAAAGAAAAAAGAAAAAUAAUUACCGAUGACGAAGAGGGCGGAGGUCCAGCCGCCGGAUUCGGAGCGGGAGACGGGGCGGCCGCGGAAGUCGACAGCGCCGACGAUUUUGGGGGAUUGUUGGGGAAGCAGGUUGAGAUUGAGGAGGGGGUCGUCGAAAUCCAUCGUGAUGCGCUUCCACUCUCUAUUUCUUUAUCUCACUAUUUCUCUCUUUUUCUCUCUCUCUCUCUCUCUCUCUCUCGUACUUACUUUACUGCACUAAUGCAGCAAUAUCGUUUCCUCUGCAGUUGUUACUGCUUUUUAAGGGAGAGAAUUUUCCUUUUUUAACUUUUUCUACUUGUGAUGUAAUGUGAUUUGGAAAGAUAUGGACACGUGUCUGAUGUUGAUCGGUUUGGUUUUCGAUUUUUUUUAGAAAAAAAUGGUACGCAAUCCGUUUGGAGGAAUGCUUAUGAAAUUGCCCCUAAAAUUUUGUACGAUAUUUAUAAAAUUUUUAAUUUUACAAAAGUAUUUAUGAAAUUUCUAAAUUUAGAGGGAUGCUUAUGAAAUUGCCCUUAAAAUUAAUUCUAUUUAUUUUCCUUAGCUAGGAAUAAGGGAUUCCCCAAUCACAUACAUAAAACUUAGCUAAAAUAUAUAUAGGUCAUUCUAAUUCGACUAUCCAACCUUUCAAAAUUUUGAUUUUGGUAUCCAACGUUCAAUUUGUUUGAUUUAAGUAAUUUGAUAACUCUUUGGAUAUAACAAUUGCUUAUUUUAAUAAAUUUAUAAUUAUGUAAAUUAUAUAAAAUAUACUAACUAUAUCCGUAAAUAUAAAUAACGCAUUCAAAUUUAGAAGUUAAAAAUUAUUAAUUGACUCAAAUUUAAAAAAAAUUAAAAUUUUAGAUAGCAAUCAAUAUUUUUAAAGAUAGAUAGUUGAAUCUAAACCGGUGAUAGUUGAGAUGAUUUUAUACAAUUUUACCCACAGUUUAUACUGAGUGAAAAAUGUUGUUAUCAGCAGUGUUGAUACAUGAAAAUGAAGGGAAAAUUAACUAUGUAUCCCUCAAAAUUUUUGAAAUAUCUUAUGUAACCCCUACUUUUUUUUUUGUUUUAAAUAUAUCCUUCGUAUAUUUCUCUAUUAUUUAAAAAUAACUCGCUUUUAGUACCCAUUAAAUUAUUCCAAGUUAAACCCGGAUUAAAUUUUUACCAGAGUUAAAAAAAGUCAAAAUACCUAUUUUGUCCCUAACUUACUAAUCUAUUUUCUUACUUUCUUAUUUAUCCCGCUUAGAAGGCUUUAUAUGAAAAAUAUUCUUCAAAUGUUUCAAGUUCUUUUAAAUUUACUCCUUGAAAAGUGGGUGAUAGUAGAAGAGAAUAUUUGAAUAAUCAAAAUAGUAAUAUUACAGAGACGGCGAUUGUUCAUAAUGGUUCACUAACAGAAUCUAAUUUUAGAAAUAUAUUUAACAAAACUCGAAAUGUUAGAGGAGUAUUUUCAUAUUAACCUUUUAAGCGGGAUAAAUAAAAAAGUCUGAAAUUUUUCAUGGGUAUAUAAGCAAUUACCCCUUAAUUGAACGUUGCUAGGUGGUAUAUCUUUUCAGUAUAACCGGAUUUGCUGUAGUCGUGUUAUAUUGUAAUGAAAAAUGCUACAUGUACACCUCUUUAUAGAGUGUGCAUCUUAAACUCCUUUAGUCCAAGAGUUUAAACAAUUGAAAAGAUUUUUGGUAUUUUUUUUUUUAAAAUUUGAUGUUACAAAGUAAGAGAACAAACGAAAUCUGAUCAAGAUAUUUGUGUAAUUAGUUAGUUCACUUGAAGAGCAGAACCGAUUAAACUACUUGAUAAAAUUUUUAAAAUUUUUUUUAUUAAAAUUGAAAGUUCAGACGGUUAUUUGCAACCUAAAGUUAAGCAGGUCACCAUGUUAAGUGGUUUUUCUUUUUCUUUUCUUUUUUUUUUUUCCAAGAAGUGACAUAAUAUUGUCAAAAUAGUUUAAGUUAUCUAAUGACCCAACUCACUAGUAUUAAGGGCUCAACCACCAGCCCAAAAUAUUUAAGCCUAGUUAUUAUGUUUAACCUAGUCAAGCUUAUAUACUUUCACAUUUAGUCAUAACUAUCCGAUUUGGGAUUAUUAAGGUGUUAUAGGUUAUUACCUGAGUAUAUUGGAUAUUUUUAAAGCUUUGAAAAAUAUAUUACAUAUUAUCUUUUUUAAUAUUUUUUGAAUUUCUUUGUCAUUGUUCCAAAAAUACCUGACAACUAAACACGCAUGUGCAGGCUUAGGGAGCACUAAUCUUCUGCUAUCUAAUAAGGGCUUUAUUUUAUAUUUUAUGUUUUAUUUUAUUUUAUUUCAUUUUUUUGAUCUUCUUCGUAUGAUCCGAGGCUUCAGAUCGCCGCUGAUCGGGGAUGGUCUAGGUGAGCUACAGUACUUCUCAAAUCUUGUCGCUAAUAUCUCCCUAUCUGCUGAGGAGGAUUCGAUUGCUUGGAGAUGGAAUAGAGAUGGGAAAUUCUCUGUCCACAGUGUCUACAACUUUCUCAUCUUUGGGGGAGUCAUUGAUAGCAGGAUCCUUUACAUAUGAAAAUUAAAAAUACCACUCAGGAUCAAGUUUUUUCUUUGGCUGGCCUCAAGGAAUAGGGUUCUAACGGCGGAUAAUUUGUCCAAGCGUGGCUGGCAGAGACCUUCGAUAUGUGCUCUUUGUCGCAAGAAUGAAGAAAAGCUGGAACAUAUACUAUUUGAAUGCAAGUUCGCAGUGCACCUGUGGACCAUUCUCCUAUAAGGCAUGCCGAAUACUGCACACACUCUGUUAAACCAACCAGCCGACCUUCAGUCCAGAUGGAUCUGAGCAAGAAAGACACAAUCUGGACACAAAAAUCCUCUUUGAUUUAGGCUUUGCUGCGACUUGUUAGGAACUAUGGAAAGAAAGAAACUUUAGAAUAUUUGAAAAUCGAGAAGCGGAAUGUGGGGAUGUGGGUAACAAAAUCUUUUCAUCUGUUAUUCUUUGGAUCUCUUUUCUGACGGGAUAGUGAGCAACAAAGGUGUAUUCACACUAUGGCGCUCUACUGACGUCCCUGUUUGAUGUACUUUCUCAAAUAGGGGGGCCCCCUGUUUAAUCAAAAAAAAAAAAAAAAAAUUUUUACAGAAUUGAUUUUGAUUUACAGAGUUGAUUUUUGGUUAAAAAUGAUUGAGGGUUUGGCUGAGCCUAACAACAAAGUAAUUUUUCUGAAAUGAUUUUAUAAAGCUGUUUAGUAAAUAUAUUUAUUGUUUGCAUCUAAUAAGUUUUUUUGCUAGUUUUUAUUUUAAAGUUUGAACCAAAAUUUUGAAUUUGACUUAAUUUUUUUAAAAUUUUAAAUUUUAAACGUUGAGAAAAAUUUAAAAUUUGUUAUUGAAUUUAAAAUUUUAAAUUAAAAUUAAAAUUUUAAAUUUUGAAAAUUUACAAAUUUCAAAAUUUAAAUCUAAAUUUAAAAGUUACAAAAUUUUAAUUCUAACUUUAAAGUUUAAAUUUAAAUAUAGUUAUAGAUUUAAAUUUAAAUUUAAAAUCUGAAUUUAAAUUUAAAAUUAAAUUUUGAUUCUAAGAUUUAAACUUUAAAUUUUAAUUUCGAGUCCAAAAUUAGAAUCGGAUUUCAAAAAGUAGAUUUUAGUUGCUUCUAAUUUUGGGCCUUUUAAAUUAGAAAACUGAUUCUAAAAAUCAGAUCAGAUUUUGAAAAUGUGUCCAAUUUUAAAUCCUACAUUUAGUAGUCUCUUUCGACAUAGCCAAACACCCUAUUGAAGGAAAGAUCACUUUUGACCCUAAAAUCACUUUUCAGAAUCUAAACCAAACAUCCCCUAAGUUAGAAAUUAUUUUAUUUUGUUUGAAGGCUGUCUGUUCUAAUGUAAAAGAAGAUAAAGUCAUCUCAGAAAAAAAAAAGUUGCAGCAGGGAAAAGCUGUCAAAUUUACCACUGUCAUUUGGUUGUUUGGUUGUCAAGAUCCAACAUUUACAUUUUAAUGGAUCUAAUAUUAUUAUUUCAUUGUUUGUGAUUCUGAUUCAACAUAAUUGAAUUUGAAUCAAAUGGAGGAAAUAUAUUGGUUAAUUAUGGUUCAACCAAGUUCAUCCCUUUGGGAGGAAAUAUAUAGCAAUAUACACACCAAUGAAACACCUAAAACCAAGAAGAUUUUACAUUAUGAAAACAUGUUUUUACAGCUUAAAUAAAUAAAUACACAUUAAACUGAGAAAAAAAGAAUUUAUAAGACAGAGAACAUAGCUAGAAAUAUUUGUCACCAAUUUGAAUGUUCAUAAUAACCACAUUACCGCCUUCUAACUUUCCUAAUCUCUUUAUCUUAUAUAUAGAGAGAGUUGAGCUCAUGUGCUUUUAAAAGCACAGAAAUAUUUGUGCUGCACACAUGUUUCUGUGCUUUUAAUAGUGCUGCACUGAUCUUGAGGCGAUGGGACAAUUAAAAAGUUACAUAUGUGCUUUUAAAAGCAUAGGGGCUCAUCUCUCUCUCUCUCUAUAUAUCAGUAAUGUUCUUCUUCUUCUUGUAUGCAUAGGCUUGUGCAAAGUAGAGAUAAACAAUCAGCUCCACAGCACUAAGCCCAGCAAGAAGCCAGUAGAAGUAGUGGAGAUGCGCGCGGUUCAAAUUGUUCGGGAACCAACCAUCGCCGCUGCUCUUCGUCGUUUUGUCGAUCACGGAUAUGAGGAAGCUACUUAUGAAGCUCCCUAUUCCGAAAAUGCUCAAGUACAGGGCGAGACCGAGGCUUCGCAACGUAUCAGGCACUUGGUCGUAGAAGAACUCCUGUAGUCCGACCAUUGUGAAAACGUCCGCGACGCCGAAAAGGACGAAUUGAGGAACUAUCCACCACAAACUCAUCGGAAUCGCGGCUUUUGGCUGGUCCACCAAACCAAAGUCUCGAGCGGUUUUGAUCCUUUUCGUCUCCACCAGUGCCGCUAUUACCUGUUGAUCGCAUAAAGAUAGAAAAACAUCGUUCUCUAGUAACUUUAACUUUUUACAUAUGAUAGACGAUUUUGCAGGGAUAUAUAUAUGUGUAUAAAACCCAGAUCAACGUAGAUCAAGAUUUUAGACAAAAAUAAUUAUUUAUCGUUACCAUCGAUAUCAUCGAAAGGACCAUCCCCGUGCCGAUUCUUUGAAGCAUAGUGAUUCCCGCGGGGAUCCCCGUGAAUCUUCUGGAAACUGGGACGAGUAUUCGGUCGUAUAUGGGAAUGAAUGUGACAAUAGAGAGACUGAUGAAACUUUGCAGUGCGGCGGGGGGGACUUGGAACUUCGAACCGAUUCUUCGGUCUAACGUGCUCGCUUGCUUUAUGAAGAAGGUCGACGAUUGUGCGAAAACAACACCGUAUAUCAAGCAAGUCGCCCAUAUAGGGAACAAUCGGAGGACAGCCUUCGCUUCUUGUAAAUUGUCGUCGUUAUCGGUGCCUCGAUCUCCCUCA
This 25375-nucleotide long non-coding RNA is filed under the name Ananas comosus (pineapple). RNAcentral describes it as "long non-coding RNA (ACOM_LNC008591)". Lineage: Eukaryota; Viridiplantae; Streptophyta; Magnoliopsida; Poales; Bromeliaceae. The record is from RNAcentral.